UGGGGAAUAUUGCACAAUGGGCGCAAGCCUGAUGCAGCCAUGCCGCGUGUGUGAAGAAGGCCUUCGGGUUGUAAAGCACUUUCAGCGAGGAGGAAGGUGGUGAGCUUAAUACGCUCAUCAAUUGACGUUACUCGCAGAAGAAGCACCGGCUAACUCCGUGCCAGCAGCCGCGGUAAUACGGAGGGUGCAAGCGUUAAUCGGAAUUACUGGGCGUAAAGCGCACGCAGGCGGUUUGUUAAGUCAGAUGUGAAAUCCCCGGGCUCAACCUGGGAACUGCAUUUGAAACUGGCAAGCUAGAGUCUCGUAGAGGGGGGUAGAAUUCCAGGUGUAGCGGUGAAAUGCGUAGAGAUCUGGAGGAAUACCGGUGGCGAAGGCGGCCCCCCUGGACGAAGACUGACGCUCAGGUGCGAAAGCGUGGGGCAGCAAACAGGAUUAGAUACCCUGGUGUCCACGCUGUAAAACGAUGUCGAUUUGGAGGUUGUGCCCUUGAGGCGUGGCUUCCGGAGCUAACGCGUUAAAUCGACCGCC
This 528-nucleotide ribosomal RNA is filed under the name uncultured bacterium. RNAcentral describes it as "partial 16S ribosomal RNA". It matches the Rfam family "Bacterial small subunit ribosomal RNA", at positions 355 to 873 of the family's 1533-position model. The record is from RNAcentral.